AUGGGUCAGAUCCAGUACUCUGAGAAGUAUUUCGAUGAUAAUUAUGAGUAUAGGCAUGUUGUUUUGCCUCCUGAAGUUGCAAAAUUGCUUCCUAAGAAUCGGCUUCUCUCUGAAAAUGAGUGGCGUGCUAUCGGAGUUCAGCAGAGCCGCGGCUGGGUUCACUAUGCCAUUCAUCGUCCUGAGCCACACAUCAUGCUUUUCAGGAGGCCCCUGAAUUAUCAGCAGCAGCAGGAUAAUCAGGCACAGCAAAGCAUGCUUGUCAAAUGA
Non-coding RNA from Vicia faba (fava bean), 267 nucleotides. NCBI's taxonomy places the organism in Eukaryota, Viridiplantae, Streptophyta, Magnoliopsida, Fabales, Fabaceae. The record is from the annotation of a GenBank genome assembly.